GUGGGGAAUAUUGGGCAAUGGGCGCAAGCCUGACCCAGCAACGCCGCGUGAAGGAAGAAGGCUUUCGGGUUGUAAACUUCUUUUACCAGGGACGAAACAAAUGACGGUACCUGGUGAAUAAGCCACGGCUAACUACGUGCCAGCAGCCGCGGUAAUACGUAGGUGGCGAGCGUUAUCCGGAUUUAUUGGGUGUAAAGGGCGUGUAGGCGGGACAGCAAGUCAGAUGUGAAAACCAGAGGCUCAACCUCUGGCCUGCAUUUGAAACUGUUGUUCUUGAGUGUCGGAGAGGUAAUCGGAAUUCCGUGUGUAGCGGUGAAAUGCGUAGAUAUACGGAGGAACACCAGUGGCGAAGGCGGAUUACUGGACGAUAACUGACGCUGAGGCGCAAAAGCGUGGGGAGCAAACAGGAUUAGAAACCCCAGUAGUCC
This 428-nucleotide ribosomal RNA is filed under the name uncultured bacterium. Its description in RNAcentral is "partial 16S ribosomal RNA". It matches the Rfam family "Bacterial small subunit ribosomal RNA", at positions 354 to 796 of the family's 1533-position model. The record is from RNAcentral.